Molecule: long non-coding RNA, 378 nt
Organism: Mytilus californianus (California mussel)
Lineage: Eukaryota; Metazoa; Mollusca; Bivalvia; Mytilida; Mytilidae
Exons: 2
Source: RefSeq, a predicted model, not a curated record
AAAUAAAAUGCUUCGCUGAGCGCAGCUGGAUACGACAGCAGAGGUCCAACCCUGAACAGUUAGGGCAAAAAUGGACACAAUAUUCAAGCUUGAUACAGGUCUGAAUUUGGAUUGUAAUUAAAUAUUUGACACAUUAUAGGUUUCUGACACAGAAUAAAUGUAGUCAAAGAACUUGAAAUUGGUUGUAUGAUUUGAAUUUAUAUUCAAUUGAAGAUUUCUUGCUGUUGUGCAAUACACUGUGCUGUUGCGCAAUACUUAGUAAAUCUGUUUUCAUACUAUAUACAAAGAAUUAGCAAAAUAAAUUGUGACCCCCAAUUUUUUUUUUGCAAAAUUGACAAUUUCUUAAAUCUUGAGGGGAAAAAAAUUGACACCCCCUCC